This 301-nucleotide ribosomal RNA is filed under the name uncultured bacterium. RNAcentral describes it as "partial 16S ribosomal RNA". It matches the Rfam family "Bacterial small subunit ribosomal RNA", at positions 509 to 807 of the family's 1533-position model. The record is from RNAcentral.
CAGUCGCCGCGGUAAUACCGAGGGUGCAAGCGUUAAUCGGAAUUACUGGGCGUAAAGCGUGCGCAGGCGGUUAUAUAAGACAGAUGUGAAAUCCCCGGGCUCAACCUGGGAACUGCAUUUGUGACUGUAUAGCUAGAGUACGGCAGAGGGGGAUGGAAUUCCGCGUGUAGCAGUGAAAUGCGUAGAUAUGCGGAGGAACACCGAUGGCGAAGGCAAUCCCCUGGGCCUGUACUGACGCUCAUGCACGAAAGCGUGGGGAGCAAACAGGAUUAGAUACCCGAGUAGUCCCUGUCUCUUAUAC